ACAUUGGUGGUUCAGCGGUAGAAUUCUUGCCUUCCAUACAGGAGAACCUAGUUCAAUUCCUGGCCAAUGCA
RNAcentral lists this transfer RNA (71 nucleotides) under Loxodonta africana (African savanna elephant). It matches the Rfam family "tRNA". From Rfam's summary of the family: Transfer RNA (tRNA) molecules are approximately 80 nucleotides in length. Their secondary structure includes four short double-helical elements and three loops (D, anti-codon, and T loops). Lineage: Eukaryota; Metazoa; Chordata; Mammalia; Proboscidea; Elephantidae. The record is from Rfam by way of RNAcentral.